RNAcentral lists this unclassified non-coding RNA (358 nucleotides) under soil metagenome. Its description in RNAcentral is "partial contains 5.8S ribosomal RNA, internal transcribed spacer 2, and large subunit ribosomal RNA". The stretch from base 1 to 120 matches the Rfam family "5.8S ribosomal RNA", at positions 35 to 154 of the family's 154-position model. The record is from RNAcentral.
GAUGAAGAACGUAGUGAAAUGCGAUAAGUAAUGUGAAAUGCAGAAUUCAGUGAAUCAUCGAAUCUUUGAACGCACAUUGCGCCCGUCAGUAUUCUGGCGGGCAUGCCUGUUCGAGCGUCAUUACGCCCCUCAAGUCCCCUGUGGACUUGGUGUUGGGGAUCGGCGAGGCUGGUUUUCCAGCACAGCCGUCCCUUAAAUUAAUUGGCGGUCUCGCCGUGGCCCUCCUCUGCGCAGUAGUAAAACACUCGCAACAGGAGCCCGGCGCGGUCCACUGCCGUAAAACCCCCCAACUUUUUAUAGUUGACCUCGAAUCAGGUAGGACUACCCGCUGAACUUAAGCAUAUCAAUAAGCGGAGGA